Molecule: ribosomal RNA, 305 nt
Filed under: uncultured bacterium
Lineage: Bacteria
Description: bacterial SSU rRNA
Rfam family: Bacterial small subunit ribosomal RNA
Source: RNAcentral
CCUACGGGGGGCAGCAGUGGGGAAUAUUGCACAAUGGGGGAACCCUGAUGCAGCGACGCCGCGUGAGUGAGGAAGUAUUUCGGUAUGUAAAGCUCUAUCAGCAGGGAAGAAAAAAGACGGUACCUGACUAAGAAGCUCCGGCUAAAUACGUGCCAGCAGCCGCGGUAAUACGUAUGGAGCAAGCGUUAUCCGGAUUUACUGGGUGUAAAAGGUGCGUAGGCGGCCUGCUAAGUCUGGAGUGAAAGGUACCGGCUCAACCGGUACAGGCUCUGGAAACUGGCGGGCUAGAGAGCAGGAGAGGGCGG